Molecule: ribosomal RNA, 1150 nt
Filed under: Haloferax gibbonsii ATCC 33959
Lineage: Archaea; Methanobacteriati; Methanobacteriota; Halobacteria; Halobacteriales; Haloferacaceae
Description: bacterial LSU rRNA
Rfam family: Archaeal large subunit ribosomal RNA
Source: RNAcentral
UGGCUACUGUGCCAGCUGGUGGAUAGCUCGGCUCGAGAGCCGAUGACGGACGUGCCAAGCUGCGAAAAGCCUCAGGGACCCGCAUGGAGGGAAAGAACUGAGGAUCUCCGAAUGGGAAUCCCCACGCAAUUGCCUCGCGCAAUGGGGAACGUUCCGAAUUGAAACAUCUUAGUAGGAACAGGAAAAGAAAGCAAUCCGCGAUGUCGUUAGUAACGGCGAGUGAACGCGAUACAGUCCAAACCGAAGCCUUCGGGCAAUGUGGUGUACGGACUACCCAUAACGGACCUGGAUCUUAUGUGAAGUCUCCUGGAACGGAGCGUGAUACAGGGUGAAAACCCCGUAACAUAAGAUUCAGAUCCCGGGGUUGUUCCAGAAUAGCGGGGGUUGGAUAUCCCUCGUGAAUUUCGCAGGCAUCAACUGCGAAGACUAAACACUCCUCGAGACCGAUAGCGAACAAGUAGCGUGAGCGAACGCUGAAAAGCACCCCGAAAAGGGCGGUGCAAUAGGGCUUGAAAUCAGUUGGCGAUAGAGCGACGUGGCAUACAAGGUCACUCGACGAAAGAACUGGGAGCGAUCCCGUAGUAUGACUCGAGUGAAGCCGAUGUUACGUCGUGCGUUUUGAAAAACGAACCAUGGAGUGCAUCUGACUGGCGAGUCUAAGGGGUGAACCCCCGGAGGCAUAGGGAAACCGAUACGGCCGCAGUCUUUGACCAGGGCCACCGUCUUCAAGGGCGGGGAGCCAACCGGAUGCGACCCGAAACCAAGUGAUCUACGCCGGAGCAGGGCGAAGCGUGGCGAAAGCUGCGUGGAGGCCCGUUAGAGUUGGUGUCCUACAAUACCCUCUCGUGACUCUGGUGUAGGGGUGAAAGGCCCAUCGAACUUGGCAACAGCUGGUUCCAACCGAAACAUGUCGAAGCAUGACCUCUGAUGAGAUAGUCUGUGAGGUAGAGCGACCGAUUGGGAAUCCGGACUCCGAGAGGAGUUCGCUUCCCUGUCAAACUCCGAACUUACAGACGUCGUAGACUCAGGGAGUCCGGUGUGCGGGGUAAGCUUGUGCACCGUGAGGGAGACAACCCAGAGCCAGGUUAAGGACCCAAAGUGUGGAUUAAGUGUGAUUGAAGAUUGUCUCGAGCCCUAAACAGCCGGGAGG